GUGGGGAAUUUUGGACAAUGGGCGCAAGCCUGAUCCAGCAAUGCCGCGUGCAGGAAGAAGGCCUUCGGGUUGUAAACUGCUUUUGUACGGAACGAAACGGUCCUGGUUAAUACCUGGGGCUAAUGACGGUACCGUAAGAAUAAGCACCGGCUAACUACGUGCCAGCAGCCGCGGUAAUACGUAGGGUGCGAGCGUUAAUCGGAAUUACUGGGCGUAAAGCGUGCGCAGGCGGUGCUGUAAGACAGGCGUGAAAUCCCCGGGCUCAACCUGGGAAUUGCGCUUGUGACUGCAAGGCUGGAGUGCGGCAGAGGGGGAUGGAAUUCCGCGUGUAGCAGUGAAAUGCGUAGAUAUGCGGAGGAACACCGAUGGCGAAGGCAAUCCCCUGGGCCUGCACUGACGCUCAUGCACGAAAGCGUGGGGAGCAAACAGGAUUAGAAACCCCAGUAGUCC
Molecule: ribosomal RNA, 450 nt
Filed under: uncultured bacterium
Lineage: Bacteria
Description: partial 16S ribosomal RNA
Rfam family: Bacterial small subunit ribosomal RNA
Source: RNAcentral